Molecule: long non-coding RNA, 314 nt
Organism: Oncorhynchus nerka (sockeye salmon)
Lineage: Eukaryota; Metazoa; Chordata; Actinopteri; Salmoniformes; Salmonidae
Exons: 3
Source: RefSeq, a predicted model, not a curated record
GCGGACCGGGAUAUCAUCAAAGAAGAAGAAGCACCUAGGGCGAUAGCUCUUCCUGUAGUAGCAACAUGGCUAGCUGCUGUUCCCUGAAAGUAUUGACACUUUUCAGCCUGUUUAUUGUUCCUGGCGCGGUGGAAAGUAAUAAUAUUGAGGCUAAAGCUGGUCAAUUCUUCAGCAGUGGACACACAAACAACUGGGCAGUUUUGGUGUGCACAUCCAGAUUCUGGUUCAACUAUCGUCAUGUGGCCAACACACUAUCUGUGUACCGUAGUGUCAAGAGACUGGGCAUCCCAGACAGGUAGCUAACUGUUACCCUG